AGAAGCCAAUAUUGCCCCGUGUCGUCUACUCCAUCUCCCUGUCAACCCGCCACCCCAGGGGCAAACAUGACUGGCAUACAGAAAGUCUUCUUCAAGGUGUCUCCUCGCCCAAUCCACGCAAUGAUACAGAAAAGAUUUACUAGCAUUCAUAGCAAACCACCCAAAGGAAAAGUUGGUCCAAUCGAAACGGUCUUUGGGCUGACUGUGUUUGCACUGGGUCUUCUGACACCCGCCGGAUGGAUUUUACUGCAUCUUCCAGAGCAGCGAAGUCACUAGAAUACCCGCGACAUAUGACUCCCGGAUCUCCUUCUCCCCCGAGAUAAAACAGCCCCCACUGAACAACAUCGUCUUUAGAAAA
Molecule: long non-coding RNA, 358 nt
Organism: Spea bombifrons (plains spadefoot toad)
Lineage: Eukaryota; Metazoa; Chordata; Amphibia; Anura; Pelobatidae
Exons: 2
Source: RefSeq, a predicted model, not a curated record